This 1066-nucleotide long non-coding RNA is filed under the name Olea europaea subsp. europaea. The record is from RNAcentral. Lineage: Eukaryota; Viridiplantae; Streptophyta; Magnoliopsida; Lamiales; Oleaceae.
CCAUGUUAUUUGAAAUCUUCAUUUUGGGCGGGUAUGUCAACCACACAGAGGAAUGAGGGUAUUAAUGUAUUUUUCGAUGGGUAUGUUCAUUCGAAAACAUCCCUAAAGCAAUUUGUGGAGCAGUAUGAGCGUGCGUUGCGAAGUAAAAUUGAGAAAGAGUUUCAAGCUGACUUCAGAUCAUUUUCACAGAUGGUCCCAUGUGCAACAAGGUACGAAAUGGAGAAACAAUUCCAAUCGAUUUACACAAUCGCAAAGUUCAAGGAAUUCCAGGAGCAGUUCACCGGAAAGGUAUAUUGUGAAGUAGUAUGCGCUCAUGAUUCGUACAUGCAUACUAUAUAUGACGUACAUGAAGACAUUAUUUUGAAUGACUGUAUGAAGACCUGUAUUUUUAAAGUACAGCUGCGUAAGGAUGAGUGUGAUUUCGAGUGCAGCUAUCACUUAUUUGAGUUCAGAGGAAUAGUUUGCAAGCACAUGAUUGCAGUUUUGAUACGCAAUCAGGUGAAAUUAGUUCCCGAGAAGUACAUAUUGCAUAGAUGGGGGAAAGAUGUCAACAGACCAUACAUAAGGGUUCCAAUCAACUGCGACGGUUGGAUUAGCACUCCGGACCAGGUUAGAUAUGAGGAAUUGUGCAGUGCAUUUACGAAAUUAGCUGACUUAGUAGCACACGACCAAUCUCGAUCCCAAGGAGUUAUGGAGUGGAUUGAAUUUCAAACAGUAGAGGCAUUGACAUUGAAUCCUACAAUGAUGAGCUCCCAAAGCUUUGAUGAAUCAGGAAAGUGAGGUGGCGAAAUCAUCUUCGACCCGAAAUAUACAAAGAGCAAGGGAGCUCCAAAAAAAACUUCAUCAGAAGGGACAUCUAGAAAGUAGUUCGAAGACAAAACGAUGUUAUCGUAAGGUAUAAAAACUUCAUGCCUUUUAUUAUUUUCUUCUCAUUUGUUCAGUAUUUCUACACAUAUUGAAUCAUAAUGUUGCUUCCCAAGUUUUGUAGGUGGUAUCGAACUCAAGUACAUCGAAAACAAUACUAAACAAUGAUACAUCGCCUCCAACCAAUGACCAGGUAACUGUU